RNAcentral lists this ribosomal RNA (638 nucleotides) under Escherichia coli. RNAcentral describes it as "partial 23S ribosomal RNA". It matches the Rfam family "Bacterial large subunit ribosomal RNA", at positions 1 to 681 of the family's 2925-position model. Lineage: Bacteria; Pseudomonadati; Pseudomonadota; Gammaproteobacteria; Enterobacterales; Enterobacteriaceae. The record is from RNAcentral.
GGUUAAGCGACUAAGCGUACACGGUGGAUGCCCUGGCAGUCAGAGGCGAUGAAGGACGUGCUAAUCUGCGAUAAGCGUCGGUAAGGUGAUAUGAACCGUUAUAACCGGCGAUUUCCGAAUGGGGAAACCCAGUGUGUUUCGACACACUAUCAUUAACUGAAUCCAUAGGUUAAUGAGGCGAACCGGGGGAACUGAAACAUCUAAGUACCCCGAGGAAAAGAAAUCAACCGAGAUUCCCCCAGUAGCGGCGAGCGAACGGGGAGGAGCCCAGAGCCUGAAUCAGUGUGUGUGUUAGUGGAAGCGUCUGGAAAGGCGCGCGAUACAGGGUGACAGCCCCGUACACAAAAAUGCACAUGCUGUGAGCUCGAUGAGUAGGGCGGGACACGUGGUAUCCUGUCUGAAUAUGGGGGGACCAUCCUCCAAGGCUAAAUACUCCUGACUGACCGAUAGUGAACCAGUACCGUGAGGGAAAGGCGAAAAGAACCCCGGCGAGGGGAGUGAAAAAGAACCUGAAACCGUGUACGUACAAGCAGUGGGAGCACGCUUAGGCGUGUGACUGCGUACCUUUUGUAUAAUGGGUCAGCGACUUAUAUUCUGUAGCAAGGUUAACCGAAUAGGGGAGCCGAAGGGAAACCGAG